RNAcentral lists this long non-coding RNA (364 nucleotides) under Fukomys damarensis (Damara mole-rat). Its description in RNAcentral is "lncRNA (ENSFDAG00000025302.1)". Lineage: Eukaryota; Metazoa; Chordata; Mammalia; Rodentia; Bathyergidae. The record is from RNAcentral.
CCAGUUGGUUGCCAGUGAUUGGCUGCAGUUUAACUGUUGUGAUCAGCUGAGACUCAGUUGCUUAGUUACAGUGGUCGAAGAUGAUAACUUGCUUGCAUAGCAAGCUAGGUUGCAUUUCACUGUAGACAGAGGUAGCUUUGGGCCACAUUUUAUCACGAGGUAUGGAAACAGUCUUAGGUCAAACAUUAAUUUAACAGGCAUAAAAAUUCAUUUGAAGUUUCAGGGGAAUAUAUCACAUCUUUGUCUGGCUUAUCCAGUAAAUAUCCUUGUUCACCUGUGGAGACUGUGUCUAUUUCCCACCCGGUAAAAGAACAAUGCCAAUGACAUUGAAUUUGCAUAUUUUCCACCAUUAAUAUUUGGAGAG